GGUUGCGAUCAUACCAGCACUAAUGCACCGGAUCCCAUCAGAACUCCGCAGUUAAGCGUGCUUGGGCGAGAGUAGUACUAGAAUGGGUGUCACACCCCGAUUUCCACGUGUAUCACCGGCG
This is a non-coding RNA of Helianthus annuus (common sunflower), 121 nucleotides long. Lineage: Eukaryota; Viridiplantae; Streptophyta; Magnoliopsida; Asterales; Asteraceae. The record is from Rfam.